CCUGGCACAUAGUAGGUACUCAAUAAAUGUUUAUUGGAUGGGUGGGUGGAUGGAGGGAUGAAGAGCAUUCCACCUGGCCCUUAGAUGCCCUUC
Molecule: microRNA precursor, 93 nt
Filed under: Myotis lucifugus (little brown bat)
Lineage: Eukaryota; Metazoa; Chordata; Mammalia; Chiroptera; Vespertilionidae
Description: miRNA (ENSMLUG00000021998.1)
Source: RNAcentral